GGGAACUUAGCUCAGUUCGGUAGAGCGUCUAACUGUUAAUUAGAAUGUCAAAGGUUCAAGUCCUUUAGUUCCCG
This 74-nucleotide transfer RNA is filed under the name Candidatus Scybalousia scybalohippi. RNAcentral's name for it is "tRNA-Asn". It matches the Rfam family "tRNA". Rfam says of the family: Transfer RNA (tRNA) molecules are approximately 80 nucleotides in length. Lineage: Bacteria; Pseudomonadati; Bacteroidota; Bacteroidia; Bacteroidales. The record is from RNAcentral.